RNAcentral lists this unclassified non-coding RNA (646 nucleotides) under uncultured Prochlorococcus sp. Its description in RNAcentral is "partial 16S-23S ribosomal RNA intergenic spacer; may also contain 16S ribosomal RNA and 23S ribosomal RNA". The stretch from base 305 to 377 matches the Rfam family "tRNA". Lineage: Bacteria; Bacillati; Cyanobacteriota; Cyanophyceae; Synechococcales; Prochlorococcaceae. The record is from RNAcentral.
UUGUGGAGGAGGACGCCGAAGGUGGGGCUAAUGACUGGGGUGAAGUCGUAACAAGGUAGCCGUACCGGAAGGUGCGGCUGGAUCACCUCCUAACAGGGAGACAACAAAAUGUUUAAUAUUAUUAUUUUGUCACCUUAGGUCGAUCGGUAUCUCACGUUCUUAAUUUAUUAAGAAUUUCAUUUCCUAAGUUUUUCUAGGUCACACCCAUUAUUUUUCCUGGGCCAUUAGCUCAGGUGGUUAGAGCGCACCCCUGAUAAGGGUGAGGUCCCUGGUUCAAGUCCAGGAUGGCCCAUAUCUCUAUGUUGGGGGUAUAGCUCAGUUGGUAGAGCGCCUGCUUUGCAAGCAGGAUGUCAGCGGUUCGAGUCCGCUUACCUCCACUGAUUACCACCUCUUCCAUAACCGGUAGUAAAGGAAAUGUUUUGAGUUGUGAUCAAAUUCUGAAAGAAUCUAGCUUCCUAAUGAAUUCAUUAAGAUGCUGGACUCAUUGAAUUAAUUUCAUUGUUUUCAGAGAACCUUGACAACUGCAUAGAUUAUUUUUAAAGACAAUAAGCAUCUUUAAUGAUGCAGAUUUAUUAUUUGUGCGAAUGCAUUAAUAACAAUUCUAUUAAGCUGAUGCUCAAUUUUGAAGUUAUUGGUCAAGCUACAA